GUUUUGCAAAAUUAACAUUACUUAUUUUCCGUAACACAGAAAUAAAUGUUCCUGUUUAUAUAGAAAAGAAUUCAGCCCUUAUGUCAUGAUGGGAACGUGUUGUUGGUCCAAUACAUGUACGUCCUGAACCACGGUGUACUACUCAUCAUUAUCAAUAGAAACAAGUAAGGUGAACCAAUCUGCUUUCUAGACUGGCUCCCUUGUCCUGCAUAGACAUAGUCUUGGAACCAAGACUAGCGUAGACAUGGAACAUAAUCCACUUGCCUGUGAUCUGCCAUCUUUGGAAUGCUUACUUUGCACUCCAUCUCCAGGGUAGCAUUCUUGGUAUGCAGUCCCUUUGCCUAUUCCAAGCAUUCAAUAGCAAAUGUAACAGUAUGGGAAAUACUGGCAACAUAUUGUGCAAAUGAACAUUGCAUUGAAGGAUACUAUUCAUUAAUAAAUGUAGAGGAACCAGUGAAUUAUGAGCACGAGCACCAACUUCCAGACAGAUUCCUGUCCCCUUCUGUUUUAGCUCUAAAAAAUAAAAAUGGAGGGAAGAGAUCUCUGUUUAUCAAGCUGUGGCUCCAGUAGUUAUGCAAACUCUGUUUUCCUUGUUCUGUAUGCAUGUAUGACAUAUACAUCAGUAUUUUACAUCACCGUUUUUAAUCUUGCUGCAUGAAUCUAUUCGUAUAAAUUUUCUAGUGUGGGAUGGCACCAGACUAUUUCAUGAUUGACGUACACUCCAAGCCUUCCGCCCCUCCCCCAACAAAAUCUGGCUUCACACACCUAAGAUUUGUUUCAUUACAAAUUUAAACUUAUUCCUCACAGUAGACAAGAACUAAAUUUGUCAAGAAAUUUUAUUAUCUUUAUUUCCACUCUCAAGUUCCCAAAAUUAAUUUUCUAUGAAUAAAGUCUAUGGAUUUCAGAACUUUCAUUUCCUCAUAUCAAACAAAUCCUCUAAAGCCUCAAAAUUUGGAAAAAAAAGUAGGAUAGACUUCAUUUAAUCAAGGUGUAAGACUUUAUUGCAAAGCAAGAAAAAUUUCUGCAGGGAAAGAAAACAAAAAAAACCCACAGUCACCCACUUCACCAGCAAUCAGUCUGCAAAAUAAAGUCUACCUAAAACAUACACCCCCAACUUGUGUGACAUAGUUUUGUACCCAGUAUUAUGUUCUCAAUGCAGGCACGGAGCCCAUUGCUGUACUGUUCUUAGUUGUACAAAAUAAAUUAGCUCCAUGGUAUGCUUAGGUGUGCUACAUCUGCAUCAGUAUUUUGUAAUCCUUGAGACAAACUCCUUACGAGAAAUGUCCUAUUUUGCUUCCAGUUUUACGACAAUAGAAAUCAGUAGAGCAUCAUUUGACUAUGAGAAUAAUAAAACAGAUUAAAUGAGCAACGUGA
Long non-coding RNA from Acanthaster planci (crown-of-thorns starfish), 1374 nucleotides. The record is from RefSeq and is a predicted model, not a curated record. Lineage: Eukaryota; Metazoa; Echinodermata; Asteroidea; Valvatida; Acanthasteridae.